UACGGGGGGGGCAAGCGUUGUUCGGAAUUACUGGGCGUAAAGGGCUCGUAGGCGGCCAACUAAGUCCGACGUGAAAUCCCCAGGCUUAACCUGGGAACUGCGUCGGAUACUGGUUGGCUUGAAUCCGGGAGAGGGGUGCGGAAUUCCAGGUGUAGCGGUGGAAUGCGUAGAUAUCUGGAGGAACACCGGUGGCGAAGGCGGCAUCCUGGACCGGCAUUGACGCUGAACAGCGAAAGCCAGGGGAGCAAACGGG
RNAcentral lists this ribosomal RNA (253 nucleotides) under uncultured bacterium. RNAcentral's name for it is "partial 16S ribosomal RNA". It matches the Rfam family "Bacterial small subunit ribosomal RNA", at positions 524 to 776 of the family's 1533-position model. The record is from RNAcentral.